GCCAGAGUGGUUUAGUGGUUUGAGUGUCGGACUAUAACUCUGGAGACCGGGAUUCGAAUCCCGGCUCUGCUA
Non-coding RNA from Phrynosoma platyrhinos (Desert horned lizard), 72 nucleotides. The record is from the annotation of a GenBank genome assembly. NCBI's taxonomy places the organism in Eukaryota, Metazoa, Chordata, Lepidosauria, Squamata, Phrynosomatidae.